Molecule: long non-coding RNA, 256 nt
Organism: Poecile atricapillus (Black-capped chickadee)
Lineage: Eukaryota; Metazoa; Chordata; Aves; Passeriformes; Paridae
Exons: 3
Source: RefSeq, a predicted model, not a curated record
GCUCCCCUGGAAGGUGCUCAUAGCUGGCGAGGAGAACCGACUGCGCCUGCACCCAGCCUCCUGCAUUCCUCCCAAGGUUCCUUGCCUCACCAGCAGGUCCUUGUAGGAUUUCAGCUCUGGGCUGUGUGUCUGGGGCUGAGCCAGGUGCCCCCUGCUCCACGCUGGGUCCCAUGAGACAGGCAGGACCACCCUGUCCCUCGCGCCCGGGGCCGCAGCAGCCGGCUCUGCCCCCAGAGCGGAGCUGCACAGAGCUGCU